CCAGACUCCUACGGGAGGCAGCAGUGAGGAAUAUUGGUCAAUGGCCGGAAGGCUGAACCAGCCAAGCCGCGUGAAGGACGAAGGUGCCAAGCAUUGUAAACUUCUUUUGUCAAGGGACAAAAUCAGGCUCGAGAGCCUGACCGAGGGUACUUGAAGAAAAAGCAUCGGCUAACUCCGUGCCAGCAGCCGCGGUAAUACGGAGGAUGCGAGCGUUAUCCGGAUUUAUUGGGUUUAAAGGGUGCGUAGGCGGUCUGUUAAGUCAGCGGUAAAAUUGCGGGGCUCAACCCCGUCGAGCCGUUGAAACUGGCAGACUUGAGUUGGCGAGAAGUACGCGGAAUGCGCGGUGUAGCGGUGAAAUGCAUAGAUAUCGCGCAGAACUCCGAUUGCGAAGGCAGCGUGCCGGCGCCAGACUGACGCUGAGGCACGAAAGCGUGGGUAUCGAACAGGAUUAGAUACCCCAGUA
RNAcentral lists this ribosomal RNA (463 nucleotides) under uncultured bacterium. RNAcentral describes it as "bacterial SSU rRNA". It matches the Rfam family "Bacterial small subunit ribosomal RNA", at positions 331 to 792 of the family's 1533-position model. The record is from RNAcentral.